GGAUUAUAAUCCUUGAAGAAUUCGUGACGGAAGUGGUAUAAAAAUAGGAUUGCCUACAAUUUGAGUGACGUCACACGAUGGAGACUUCUAAAAUUACAUGAGAGCCGAUGAAAAAUAUUAUUUCACUUUUACGCUCCAUUUUUCAACUAUAUUACAAACGUAUGUAACUGGGACAGUUUGUGACGCGAGUGUCUUUAUGUCGGAAUAGUUUUAACUCGAUGCAGUGAGGUGAUAUUAUAAGUUGUUGCUUUAGUUACGAGAAUCUCAUAUUAUUUCGUAAUAAUAAAAAUGCAAAGAAGGCGCCCAGCCAGACUGAAAUCGAACUAAGAUAAUCAGAACAAUGCCUGUAGUUUCACCAUCCAGAUACACGCCCACCACCUCCACCCUGACUGGCUCCUACCGCUCGACCUUGACGUCGUCAUCGAGCAUUGACAAGCCCUACUACAGAAGCAGUAGCGGUACAUACGUCACGUCAACAUUGAGAAGUAGUUAUGGAGACAGAACGACUGAAUACAGAUCGAGAUUCAGUGACGUUGAUGGGAAAAGGGAAAGAAAAACUUCACUCGUCGAAUAUUCUCGAAGCUCUAGAGCACCGAGUGUAACAGAUUCGGAUAGCGGCAUUUCUAGUCGAUACAGGUCUGAACGUAGCGAGUCCAGAUCGAGAGAUGUGUCGACGACGAGGAGCGAAAGCUCUCGAACAUCAGACCUUAAUCGGGGCAAGAGGAAUAUCAUUAGUACGGCCGCGUUGGCUAUGUCAACUGCGGAAUUGUACAACAAAUAUUCGCCAGCGAACUAUGUGCCCUUAACUCAGAGAAUACAACAACAAAGUCAGAAUAAUUAUGGUGAAAUAUCGAGAUCUAAGUCUAUAUCGAAUGACAUCGGCAGGCCACCAGCAUCGGAUUGCAGAUCUAGGAAGCCCAGGAACUCGGCGGCGACUAUUUCAGAGAAACCGGAAAGCAGAAGAUAUAAGGAUAGCUCGCCAACAACUAGCUACAGCAAAAGGAACUCUAUGACGAAUGGUGUUAAAGACAGUAAUGGCAAUGAGGUGUCUUCCGUAUCUGAAAUACGGAAAAGGUUCGACCCUAAAAUGACUGUUACAAAACUGCCCGCUAAUGAUGCAAGAUAUUCUUCCAAAACUAUGGAACAUUAUCUAAAUCAGCUCAAAGAGUGUGAAAACGGAUCGACUGGUUACACGAAAAUUAAUCCAAAAGAUGAUCAACCUGUGCCCGUUCAUUUGCCAUACACUGAGAAGAACGGAGUUACCAGCAGGUGGGAUGUAGGUUCUCCAAAAUCUAGGUCUAGUUCUAAUUCAGAUCUAACUCUUAGUAAGACAAUAUCCGAACCGGUUUCCUUGGCUAAGCCAUCGGUAGAUAAGAGUGUCAAUAUGUCAACGUCGCUGACAUCUAAAGUUACAGCUAACAUCAAAAGUCAGCUGGACCCAAACAAUCCAAUAGGCAAGAUUCUAGAAAAGUCGACGGUCAUCCAAGUUGAAAACGGCGAUUUAGAUCACGCCGAACGUAGAAGAAUAAGCAAAAGUCCAGAGAUUAAGAUAAAAGAUAUAAAAAGUGAUAUAGAAAAGCAAACGAAAACACCUAAACACACUACAAAUUUCGCGUCAUAUAUCCAAAUUUCUCAACCAGUAGCGUCAGGAGCGACGCCUAAAACAAAGCACGUUGAUCACAUCAACGAUGACAGUUUAAAAAGUAAAGAAAAUAAAAAAUCUAUCAAAUAUAUCGACUCGGAGGAAGAUCGCUCAAUUCUAGAUACUGAUAUUGAAUCACCAAGUGGAACUGGUUUCGAAAAUAAGACAUUCGAACACGAGAAUUAUCUCAAGAAGAGAACAGAGAAGAGCGAAACAGAAGAAAAAGAUGAUGGUAUCAAGUCCAUGGAGACCAGCACCGAGAGUACAAUCAGCGAGUCCACAGAGGAUUCUAGUCCUGAAACUCCCUCGUCCAGAAGAAGAAUCCUGGAUAUUAAGGAUUAUGACUACGUGAAAUCGGAGUUGGCUGGAGGUAAGAGCGGCCCCAGCGGUUUCCGCCGCAGCAGCGAAAGGACGGACAUCAGUGAGCGUGGUGAGAAACAGUCCAGUCAUAGUAGCGGCCUCAACGGUCUGCGCAACAUCGGGAACACGUGUUUCAUGAACAGCGUUCUGCAGUGCCUCUCGAAUACGAGACCGUUGUUGGAAUAUUUGACCGAGGAGAAAUAUUCGUCCGAUAUCAACACAACGCUGUCUUGCAUGAAGGGCGCUCUGAUUAAAGCGUUCGCGAGCGUCAUCAAAGAGCUCUGGCGCAGCGGUGAGCGAGACUCGGUGGUGAAUACGACCAGCCUCAAGUCGCAGGUGCAGAGGUUCGCGCCGCGGUUCAUGGGAUACAGUCAGCAGGACGCGCAGGAAUUCCUCCGUUAUCUGCUGGAAGGUUUGCACGAAGACGUGAACAGGGUGACGGUUAAACCGAAGCCGUUGCUCACAGAAAUUGAUGACAAUCUCAGUGACUCGGCGAAGGCGCAAGAGGCGUGGAGUCGCUACUUGCGCACGGAGGACAGUCGCGUGGGCGACAUCUUCGUGGGACAGCUGAAGUCCACUCUUCGCUGUACGCACUGCCAUCACGACAGCGUCACCUUCGACCCCUUCUGGGACCUCAGUUUACCGAUACCUUCGCGAACCGGUAAUUUGAAGCUACAACAGUGCCUCCAACACUUUGUGAGGGAAGAAGAACUUGAUGGCGACGAGAAACCGACAUGCUCGAAGUGCGGAGUUCGACGCAAGUGCCUGAAAUGGUUCACGGUGCAGAAGUUCCCCCAAGUUCUGGUGCUGCAUCUAAAACGGUUCUCCCCCACGGAGCGCUUCCGCGGCAAGCUGUCGGUGGUCGUGGAGUUCCCGCUGUCGGGGCUCGACAUGUCGCCGCUAGCGGCCGCGCCCACGCACGCCACCUACAACCUGUACGCCGUCAGCAACCACUCGGGUACGACGUACUCCGGCCACUACACGGCGUACUGCAAGCACCCUUAUACCGGCGAUUGGCAUGAAUAUAACGACUCUAGAGUGUCGACGAUAUCAGCUCGCGACGUGGUGUCGGCGGAGGCCUACGUGCUGUUCUACGAGCUCGCCCCGCGCGCGUAGCGACCCCCCACAAUUAAGAAAGCACGCUACAGCCGCGCCCUGAGCUAGUUGUCACCGGGAACGUGUACAGCAAACAACAAACAAAAAAUGUAUUGAUAAACUAUUAUUAUUUAUUAUAUUGACACAUAUUGCUAACGGGAUAAAGUUCAAAUUUGUUUGGCACUGUGAUUUUGUGAUUUUAUAUUAUGAUAACGGUUUAAAUUUGCAAAUCGAUUUUGAUUAUUGUCUAAAGCUUUUUGUCUUGCCAACGAUCGUUUAAUGUCAAUCAAUUAUUUUGCUGACCCUCCGAACACAAACAGAUUCACAGACAGUUGCGAAAACAGAAAUUGUGAAGUAGUUAAAUGAAUAUACCUUUUCAAGGGAUGAACAAUCUUAUCCCCUUUUGUAGUAAAUAUGUACUGUUGUCUUAUAUUAUUUAUGUUAACUGACUAUGUAAUACCCGAAAGUCACGAUUAGUGAACUUUUGGAAGGAAUUUUUGUCAAGCUUGUUGGCGUGGUUGGUAGAUAUUUCACGGCGAAGGUUGUGGGUUCGAUUCCCACCCAGUACAUACAUUCACAAACAGUCUGUUUGUCCUGAGUCUGGGUGUAAGUAUCUAUAAAAGUAUUUUGGGAUCAGAUGGCCGGGUGUGAAUAAUGUCCCAGGAUAUUAAAAAAAAAAUAAAAAAUUGUGAUAUAACCACCAUUAAUUAAAAAUGUUUUGAUUUAUAGCUUAAUUGUGCAUCUAUUUAUUAUAAUUAAAAUCUUAUUAUAAAUGGGUUUUAUGUGUUCAAAAUACGACAAGCAAAAUUAAAUCAUUUUUCCCAUAAUAAUUAAAUUCAAUUUAAAGUACUCGUGUUAUUUUAAAAGAUUCAAAUUUAAGUCUUAUCCCGUUAGCGAUAUGGCUUAUAAUCAAAUGAUAUAUAACAAGAUUAUUCUCGAGUAAAAAAUGUAUUGAAAGUAAUUUGUAACAUAUAUAACGAUUUUUGCUUACCACAGAGUUUUAAUAUAUUUUUAAUUAACGAACGGCCAUACAAUAGGACGAAAAUAUUAUAAUGACUUAUACAAUUAUAGUAAUAUAAAUAAAUAGUUACAUAUCACUGUUUUUAUUUUUAAAUUUAUUUAUUCUUUUUUUUUUUAAUAUUUAAAACGAACGCUUUAAGUGAUUUUGACAUGUGUCAAAAGUAGUACGAAUUCGCGCCUUCUUUCUUAACAAUUAUUAUGUGUAAUGUUUUUUUUUUAAUUAGAAUUUUGACAUAUCGAUCAAAAUGGCGUCUAAUAAUAUUUACAAAUAAUAUGUGUUUUGGAAAAGGUGUCAAUAUAUGCUUGGUUCAGAGUGUUAAUAUAUCAUGUAGAGUAUAAUUUCCAAAGGUUGAAAAAUUAAAGCGUGCGCCACACAUUUGUCUUCGUUAGAACAUCAGAAUCAAAUUCGUCCUUAAAAUUGGAAUCUUUAAUCUUAAAAUAUAUAGAAAAACUUUAGUACAUAAAUGAUUUUAUUUUUGAACAAUGCUUCUAACAGCAUAGAAAUUUAAUUAAAAAUAUAAACAUGUGUCAGUUGACAGAAUCUUUAUAGAACCGUUUCAUCUUGCCGCCAUCUUGUAUAAAAGUUAUAUUUUAUUGUAAAAGUCAUUAUAAUACAUAUAAAUAUGUACAUAGUAUUUAUUUAUAGUAAUUUGUUGAUCCAAGUCAAAGUAAUCUGAUAUUUGCAUUUUUCAUAGAUUUGUUUUAUUUUAGCAUUAAGAUUUAGAGAAUUGGUGUCUACUAAUGAUACCCGUAACAGCUUGUGAAUGUCCCACUGCUAGGCUAAAGGCCUCCUCUCCCUUUUUGAGGAAAUGGUUUUAUCUUUAAAAAUAAUGGUUUAAUUUAACUAUAUAUAAUAUUUGCGUAUUCGUAUUCUUGUCUCCUCAUUCAAUAGUACAGUUUAAUGUGAAAUUACUAUGUUCUAAUAUAAAAGUAAAUAAUUUUCUUUUUGUAACUCAGACAAACAUAUAUAUAUGUAAUAUAUAUCUAGUCUUGUUAUAUAUAAUAAAUGAAAAAUGCAAAUAUUCAGACGAAAUUUAUCACAGCUUCGUUAAAUUUAUUAAAUUGUUUAAUAAUAUAUUAAAAUUAUUUAUUAGAUAAUUAUUUGUUUAUAUUGAGAUAUAUAUUGUACGUUUGUUUAUAUAAAAAAAUAUGUCAAUUAAAAGUUAAUCAAUACGUUGAAUUCUGUUAACUCGGUUUCGGUCAUAAGGUAUCGAAAAGUUAAGCGACGAAGCGAAGCGCAAGCGACGCGAUAUUUUGAGCUACGGCCGCAUCUGUGCCACGAUAUGCGAGGCAGUAAUACUCGUAAUAAUUCCUCAACUCUUGUUAAAUAAUAAUACGUUUAGGAAUAUUGAUUAUAAUUCAUUCAUUUAAUUACAGAAAAAUAUAUCUUUUUUUUUAUUAAAUUAUUAUCAUUAUAAUAAUUUUUUUCAAUCAUUAUAAUAAUCUUUGAAAGAAUCUAACAUAAUGAAAAAGUGUCAGAGAAACAUGAUCUGAAUUUAAUUGAUCAAAAUUAAUAUCAAUAAUUUAUUGUUACUGAAGCAACUUGGACUUUUCUUAUUUCGUGCGAAUUAUUUGCGUAAAAAUUAUCAUCAAAACGGGUACAGUAAAUUUCUCGCGACAGAAUUUAAUACGGAAAAUAAUCAAAAUCAAUACGGUGCAUGAAAAUUCAUAAAUAAUGUAAAAUUGUUAUGUUGUCGGUACUUAUAAUAUUAAUUUCCUAUGUUUAAAGAAAAUAAAUCGAUUAAAUGUCCCACUGUUGGGAAUAUCCACUCAAAUUGAGAAAGUAUUUAGAUAAUUCCAUCGCGCUGCUCUAAUGCAAGGAGGAUACAAAAGUAGCAAAUUUCAUCUGACACGUGCAACCUCCUUACUAUAUUAUCCUCAAUGUCGAGCUCGAGAUGAAUUAUAAGAACGCGUUUGAACCCGCAAUCUUCGUUCAGAAUUCAUAUGUUCUAGUCAAAGAGCCACCUCGCCUCUUAAACGUGAGAAAACAUUGAUUUUCUUAACGAAUUACUAAUAAUCAAUGGUUUACUGUGCGCGUUUCAUAAUCGCACUCUAAAAAGGUUAUGAGAAAACGCAAUGGACUAAAAAAAUGUGUAUUUGUUUUAAAUCAAGCUACCACAGAAGCGAUAGGUACAGAUUAUAAAUUUGUUUUUUUUUUUAGUCCAUUGCACUAUUUGUCUUUGAAACGACCGACACCGGAUUGUGAAUGAAGAGUCAAAUUUUGUACACUGGCAACACUUGAAAUCCUUAUAUUGAAAUAGAAAAUAUUUUUACACAAUAAAAAAAAUAUUAGGCUUAAGAAUAAAACUAAACCCGACUACUUUAUGCAUAAUGUUUAUUUUGUGAAAGUUAAUAUUUCGAUAUGAGUUUAAAAUAGCGAAAUUGUUUGCCAUAGUUUUAAACCGCCAUUAUUGAUACUAAUUAAUAUUUCUUUUGAUAAAUUUAUAAAGUCGACUCUGAUGUAUUGAGCUUUUUAUAUAAUUUCUUGUUUUCGCUGUUGCAUAUUAUACAGGAUGUUAAAAAAUCAUGUUAAUUGUAUGUUUGUAUGUAAAAUUUAAUAAGUUUUUUUUUUAAACAUAGUCCUUCGUAGUCUGGUUUAAACAAAACUUGACUCUCACACCCAUUGUGCCCUAAAUAUGAGAUGUUAUAAGAUAUUAUAAAUAAUAUUAAAAUUGCCUUUGGGCGUCCGAUAUACGUCCGUGUUACUUGAUCCGUCAAAAUUCGAAAGAAAACGGACCCUAUGAUUAUUGGUUUAAGGUAAGGUUCGUGUUUUGACGUGUUAAGUUUAAUUCGACCAUAGAACAAAUGAUUUAGAAGUUCCUUGUACUAUUUUUUUCCUUCUGAGCUCUUGGAAACUGUUUCCUUCGCACUUCACAUUGAGGUCAACCUUGCCAUAUUUUUAUGUAAUAUAUUUAUCGUUAUACUUCUUAUAUUUACAUUAUGAGUUCCUUAUAAACCGUGUUUAUAUACUCCAUUCAAUUAGUCAUUUAAAGAAACGGCGAAAAAAACUUGAGGAAUCCAUAUUUGUCUAGUAUUAUCGUUACAAACUCGACCGAUUCAUUAGAAUCGCUUAGUGUUUUGAAAUGUCAUAUUUAGCGUUAGUUAAACGGGCUUAAUUUUCUAUUGUCAUUUCUAUUAUUAUCUGUUCUAUGGUCGCCAUAGUUGAAGUUAGUUAAGAGCUUUGAGGCGUGGUUGUUUUUGUUUUAUCUUAUGUUUUCUGUAAAAAAAUUUUUAAUUUUAUUUACUGUUGAACAUUAACGCGAGGUUUCCAGACGAAAUUGUUAAUUAAUAUUACUAAUGUAUAAUUUUGUUAUCUGUUUUUCGAAUUUUACCGUUAAUGAUUAAAAUUUUGAAAUAAUAUUGAUAUUUUUUUAAGGCUUGUAUUGUUUUGAAUAGUGUACGAAAUUAAGUCUUAUUGUUUUUGCAAUAAAAUUCGAUAUUAUAUCAAGUCGGUAAGUCGGUAAAACAGUUUAGUCAAACGAAUGGAGACCUCAGAAUAUAUUUCAUCACAAGGAAUCUUACUUAGCCAAAGAUAUUAUUGCUAAAUUGUUAAAUCGCUGUAUUAUUAAUAUUAAUAAUUUAUUAUUUUAAUAUAAUUGUAUUUUUAAUAUAUGGAGCGGUUUGCGAGGCUCGUCCUCACUAACUAUAAUUGUGAAGAACGUAACAGAUUUAUAUUAUAGAAUAUAUAUUUAAAUGAGUAAAUUAUUAUUAAAAUG
This is an RNA transcript of Nymphalis io (European peacock), 7833 nucleotides long. RefSeq lists it as uncharacterized. The transcript has 15 exons. NCBI's taxonomy places the organism in Eukaryota, Metazoa, Arthropoda, Insecta, Lepidoptera, Nymphalidae. The record is from RefSeq and is a predicted model, not a curated record.